UACGAACUGUGCGAACGUUAUUCGGAAUCACUGGGCUUAAAGGGUGCGUAGGCGGAUUUGUAGGUCAGAUGUGAAAGCCCACGGCUCAACCGUGGAAUUGCGUUUGAAACCACAAGUCUUGAGGGGAUCAGAGGAGAGCGGAACUCAUUGUGGAGCGGUGAAAUGCGUUGAUAUGAUGAGGAACACCGGUGGCGAAAGCG
This 200-nucleotide ribosomal RNA is filed under the name uncultured bacterium. RNAcentral's name for it is "partial 16S ribosomal RNA". It matches the Rfam family "Bacterial small subunit ribosomal RNA", at positions 524 to 723 of the family's 1533-position model. The record is from RNAcentral.